This 176-nucleotide ribosomal RNA is filed under the name Disperis sp. CPG 29216. RNAcentral describes it as "5.8S ribosomal RNA". The stretch from base 4 to 159 matches the Rfam family "5.8S ribosomal RNA". Rfam says of the family: 5.8S ribosomal RNA (5.8S rRNA) is a component of the large subunit of the eukaryotic ribosome. It is transcribed by RNA polymerase I as part of the 45S precursor that also contains 18S and 28S rRNA. The record is from RNAcentral. Lineage: Eukaryota; Viridiplantae; Streptophyta; Magnoliopsida; Asparagales; Orchidaceae.
GACGACUCUUGGCAAUGGAUAUCUUGGCUCUUGCAUCGAUGAAGAACAUAGCGAAAUGUGAUGCAUGGUGCGAAUUGCAGAAUCCCGUGAACCAUCGAGGUUUUGAAUGCAAGUUGCGUCAAAGGCCAGCAGGUCAAGGGCACGUCUGCUUGGGAGUCAAAAUAACUCAUCGCUCU